RNAcentral lists this ribosomal RNA (516 nucleotides) under uncultured bacterium. Its description in RNAcentral is "bacterial SSU rRNA". It matches the Rfam family "Bacterial small subunit ribosomal RNA", at positions 8 to 518 of the family's 1533-position model. The record is from RNAcentral.
AGAGUUUGAUUCUGGCUCAGGAUGAACGCUAGCGGCAGGCUUAACACAUGCAAGUCGAGGGGCAGCGUGGAGUAGCAAUACUCUGACGGCGACCGGCGAAAGGGUGAGUAACGCGUGAGCAACAUGCCCGGGACUGGGGGAUAGUCGAUGGAAACGUCGUGUAAUACCCCGUAACACAUUGCACCGCAUGAUGCGAUGUUGAGAGAUUUAUCGAUUCCGGAUUGGCUCGCGUCCCAUUAGCUAGUUGGCGGGGUAACGGCCCACCAAGGCGACGAUGGGUAGGGGUUCUGAGAGGAAGGUCCCCCACAUUGGAACUGAGACACGGUCCAGACUCCUACGGGAGGCAGCAGUGAGGAAUAUUGGACAAUGGCCGAGAGGCUGAUCCAGCCAUGCCGCGUGCGGGAGGACGGCCCUAUGGGUUGUAAACCGCUUUUGUCAGGGGGCAAUAAGGGCCACGUGUGGCCCGAUGAGAGUACCUGGCGAAUAAGCAUCGGCUAACUCCGUGCCAGCCGCCGC